UACGUAGGGGGCCAGCGUUGUCCGGAUUUAUUGGGCGUAAAGAGCGUGUAGGCGGCCAGGUAGGUCUGCUGUGAAAACUCGAGGCUCAACCUCGAGACGCCGGCGGAAACCAUCUGGCUAGAGUCCGGAAGAGGAGAGUGGAAUUCCUGGUGUAGCGGUGAAAUGCGCAGAUAUCAGGAAGAACACCCGUGGCGAAGGCGGCUCUCUGGGACGGUACUGACGCUGAGACGCGAAAGCGUGGGGAGCGAACAGG
RNAcentral lists this ribosomal RNA (253 nucleotides) under uncultured bacterium. RNAcentral describes it as "partial 16S ribosomal RNA". It matches the Rfam family "Bacterial small subunit ribosomal RNA", at positions 524 to 776 of the family's 1533-position model. The record is from RNAcentral.